AUGGCUACCUCCUCCAAAACUGCGGAGGAUCAUUGCUUUCCCCUUCCCUGUCAGUCCCUUCUUAUGAUUCAAGGAAACAAACAAACCAACAACCGAUCAUACGCUCAGUUUAUAAGGGUUUUUUUUUGUUCCUUGCUCCAGGAUAUUGUGACAUAUUUCUGCAUCACGGAGCACCUGCGAUGGGUCACAAUGACAGGUGAGCCAGGCAGUGACCGUCGGAAAAGCGUGAGGUGUUCAGAGCAUCCUUCCCCUACAUACCAUGAUGUUUCUCACCAAUGUUUUUUAUGGCUCCUCCAGAGCCGGCCGUGUUGGAAAGGAAAUCUGUCCCGGUCGCUGCAAGUCGUCCUGUCUGCCCAGUGAAUAUGCAGUUCUCUCAUAUAAAUGCGAUCAUCCUGACCAUGUCUUCUGCUGCAAACAUUCAGGUAACUUAGCGGCUGCUAUACAUGAAAAAUAGGGGUGUUUCUCUAACUUUUUGAAGGAAAAACGCCCAAGCGGGAAAAAGAGGCAACACAACAUUUUACAAAGUUAUUGCACCAACCAAGUUAUAUGGAAAUGCU
RNAcentral lists this long non-coding RNA (557 nucleotides) under Pogona vitticeps (central bearded dragon). RNAcentral's name for it is "lncRNA (ENSPVIG00000006923.1)". Lineage: Eukaryota; Metazoa; Chordata; Lepidosauria; Squamata; Agamidae. The record is from RNAcentral.